GACGAACGCUGGCGGCGUGCCUAACACAUGCAAGUCGAGCGGAGACAGCAGCAAUGUUGUUUUAGCGGCGGACGGGUGAGUAACGCGUGGGCAACCUGCCUAUAACUGGGGGAUAACACAGGGAAACUUGUGCUAAUACCGCAUAACAUCAUGAAGGGACAUCCCUUUAUGAUCAAAGGAGCAAUCCGGUGAUAGAUGGGCCCGCGUCCGAUUAGCUAGUUGGUGAGGUAAUGGCUCACCAAGGCGACGAUCGGUAGCCGAACUGAGAGGUUGAUCGGCCACAUUGGGACUGAGACACGGCCCAGACUCCUACGGGAGGCUG
Molecule: ribosomal RNA, 322 nt
Filed under: uncultured Bacillota bacterium
Lineage: Bacteria; Bacillati; Bacillota
Description: bacterial SSU rRNA
Rfam family: Bacterial small subunit ribosomal RNA
Source: RNAcentral